This 497-nucleotide ribosomal RNA is filed under the name uncultured bacterium. RNAcentral describes it as "partial 16S ribosomal RNA". It matches the Rfam family "Bacterial small subunit ribosomal RNA", at positions 28 to 507 of the family's 1533-position model. The record is from RNAcentral.
GAUGAACGCUGGCGGCGUGCCUAAUACAUGCAAGUCGAGCGAACAGAUGAGGAGCUUGCUCCUCUGACGUUAGCGGCGGACGGGUGAGUAACACGUGGAUAACCUACCUAUAAGACUGGGAUAACUUCGGGAAACCGGAGCUAAUACCGGAUAAUAUAUUGAACCGCAUGGUUCAAUAGUGAAAGACGGUUUUGCUGUCACUUAUAGAUGGAUCCGCGCCGCAUUAGCUAGUUGGUAAGGUAACGGCUUACCAAGGCAACGAUGCGUAGCCGACCUGAGAGGGUGAUCGGCCACACUGGAACUGAGACACGGUCCAGACUCCUACGGGAGGCAGCAGUGGGGAAUCUUCCGCAAUGGGCGAAAGCCUGACGGAGCAACGCCGCGUGAGUGAUGAAGGUCUUCGGAUCGUAAAACUCUGUUAUUAGGGAAGAACAAAUGUGUAAGUAAGUAUGCACGUCUUGACGGUACCUAAUCAGAAAGCCACGGCUAACUACGUG